CGCAGUGGUAGCUGCAAGGGCAGGGAUGU
RNAcentral lists this non-coding RNA (29 nucleotides) under Homo sapiens (human). The record is from RNAcentral. Lineage: Eukaryota; Metazoa; Chordata; Mammalia; Primates; Hominidae.